GAUGAACGCUGGCGGCGUGCCUAACACAUGCAAGUCGAGCGAUUUUCUUCGGAAGAGAGCGGCGGACGGGUGAGUAACGCGUGGGUAACCUGCCUCAUACACAUGGAUAACAUACCGAAAGGUAUUCUAAUACAAGAUGAUAUAAGAGAUUCGCAUGGAUUUCUUAUCAAAGCUCCGGCGGUAUGAGAUGGACCCGCGUCUGAUUAGCUAGUUGGUAAGGUAACGGCUUACCAAGGCGACGAUCAGUAGCCGACCUGAGAGGGUGAUCGGCCACAUUGGAACUGAGACACGGUCCAAACUCCUACGGGAGGCAGCAGUGGGGAAUAUUGCACAAUGGGCGAAAGCCUGAUGCAGCAACGCCGCGUGAGUGAAGAAGGUUUUCGGAUCGUAAAGCUCUGUUGUAAGAGAAGAACGUGUGUGAGAGUGGAAAGUUCACACAGUGACGGUAACUUACCAGAAAGGGACGGCUAACUACGUGCCAGCAGCCGCGGUAAUACGUAGGUCCCGAGCGUUGUCCGGAUUUAUUGGGCGUAAAGCGAGCGCAGGCGGUUUAAUAAGUCUGAAGUUAAAGGCAGUGGCUUAACCAUUGUUCGCUUUGGAAACUGUUAAACUUGAGUGCAGAAGGGGAGAGUGGAAUUCCAUGUGUAGCGGUGAAAUGCGUAGAUAUAUGGAGGAACACCGGUGGCGAAAGCGGCUCUCUGGUCUGUAACUGACGCUGAGGCUCGAAAGCGUGGGGAGCAAACAGGAUUAGAUACCCUGGUAGUCCACGCCGUAAACGAUGAGUGCUAGGUGUUAGGCCCUUUCCGGGGCUUAGUGCCGCAGCUAACGCAUUAAGCACUCCGCCUGGGGAGUACGACCGCAAGGUUGAAACUCAAAGGAAUUGACGGGGGCCCGCACAAGCGGUGGAGCAUGUGGUUUAAUUCGAAGCAACGCGAAGAACCUUACCAGGUCUUGACAUCCCAGUGACCGCUCUAGAGAUAGAGUUUUUCUUCGGAACACUGGUGACAGGUGGUGCAUGGUUGUCGUCAGCUCGUGUCGUGAGAUGUUGGGUUAAGUCCCGCAACGAGCGCAACCCUUAUUGUUAGUUGCCAUCAUUCAGUUGGGCACUCUAGCGAGACUGCCGGUAAUAAACCGGAGGAAGGUGGGGAUGACGUCAAAUCAUCAUGCCCCUUAUGACCUGGGCUACACACGUGCUACAAUGGUUGGUACAACGAGUCGCAAGUCGGUGACGGCAAGCAAAUCUCUUAAAGCCAAUCUCAGUUCGGAUUGUAGGCUGCAACUCGCCUACAUGAAGUCGGAAUCGCUAGUAAUCGCGGAUCAGCACGCCGCGGUGAAUACGUUCCCGGGCCUUGUACACACCGCCCGUCACACCACGAGAGUUUGUAACACCCGAAGUCGGUGAGGUAACCGUAAGGAGCCAGCCGCCUAAGGUGGGAUAGAUGAUUGGGGUG
Molecule: ribosomal RNA, 1451 nt
Filed under: uncultured bacterium
Lineage: Bacteria
Description: bacterial SSU rRNA
Rfam family: Bacterial small subunit ribosomal RNA
Source: RNAcentral